CGAACGCUGGCGGCGUGCUUACCACAUGCAAGUCGCACGGAAAGGCCCUGCUUUUGUGGGGUGCUCGAGUGGCGAACGGGUGAGUAACACGUGAGUAACCUGCCCUUGACUUUGGGAUAACUUCAGGAAACUGGGGCUAAUACCGGAUAGGAGCUCCUGCUGCAUGGUGGGGGUUGGAAAGUUUCGGCGGUUGGGGAUGGACUCGCGGCUUAUCAGCUUGUUGGUGGGGUAGUGGCUUACCAAGGCUUUGACGGGUAGCCGGCCUGAGAGGGUGACCGGCCACAUUGGGACUGAGAUACGGCCCAGACUCCUACGGGAGGCAGCAGUGGGGAAUAUUGCACAAUGGGCGGAAGCCUGAUGCAGCAACGCCGCGUGCGGGAUGACGGCCUUCGGGUUGUAAACCGCUUUCGCCUGUGACGAAGCGUGAGUGACGGUAAUGGGUGAAGAAGCACCGGCUAACUACGUG
This 466-nucleotide ribosomal RNA is filed under the name uncultured bacterium. RNAcentral's name for it is "partial 16S ribosomal RNA". It matches the Rfam family "Bacterial small subunit ribosomal RNA", at positions 30 to 507 of the family's 1533-position model. The record is from RNAcentral.